GACAGGGUGGCUUAGUGGUUAGAAUUGCAAACUCACACUGCUGGGGGUGGGGUUUCGAAUCCCACCCUCGCCC
Molecule: non-coding RNA, 73 nt
Organism: Pangasius djambal
Lineage: Eukaryota; Metazoa; Chordata; Actinopteri; Siluriformes; Pangasiidae
Source: the annotation of a GenBank genome assembly